CCCUUAGAUGUCCUGGGCCGCACGCGCGCUACACUGAUGCAUGCAACGAGUUUAUAACCUUGGCCUGAAAGGUCUGGGUAAUCUUUUGAACGUGCAUCGUGAUAGGGAUAGAUUAUUGCAAUUGUUAAUCUUGAACGAGGAAUUCCUAGUAAACGCGAGUCAUCAGCUCGCAUUGAUUACGUCCCUGCCCUUUGUACACGCCGCCCGUCGCACCUACCGAUUGAAUGGUUCGGUGAAGAUCUCGGACUUCGAUAUUUAUUCUUUAUUGAGUUUAUAUUGUGGGAAGUUAUCUAAACCUCAUCAUUUAGAGGAAGGUGAAGUCGUAACA
Molecule: ribosomal RNA, 328 nt
Filed under: uncultured eukaryote
Lineage: Eukaryota
Description: partial 18S ribosomal RNA
Rfam family: Eukaryotic small subunit ribosomal RNA
Source: RNAcentral